AUUGAACGCUGGCGGCAGGCCUAACACAUGCAAGUCGAACGAGUGGCGGACGGGUGAGUAAUGUCUGGGAAACUGCCUGAUUGAGGGGGAUAACUACUGGAAACGGUAGCUAAUACCGCAUACCAUCAGAUGUGCCCAUAUGGGAUUAGCUUGUUGGUGGGGUAACGGCUCACCAAGGCGACGAUCCCUAGCUGAUAUGAGAGGAUAACCAGCAACACGGGAACUGAGACACGGUCCAGACUCCUACGGGAGAAAGCAGUGGGGAAAAUUGCACAAUGGGCGCAAGAGUGAUGGAGCAAUGCCGCGUGUAUGAAGAAGGACUUCGGGUUGUAAAGUACUUUCAGCGGGGAGGCGUUACCCGCAGAAGAAGCACCGGCUAACUCCGUGCCAGCCGACGCGGUAAUAC
Molecule: ribosomal RNA, 406 nt
Filed under: uncultured bacterium
Lineage: Bacteria
Description: partial 16S ribosomal RNA
Rfam family: Bacterial small subunit ribosomal RNA
Source: RNAcentral